This is a non-coding RNA of Chlorocebus sabaeus (green monkey), 1487 nucleotides long. Lineage: Eukaryota; Metazoa; Chordata; Mammalia; Primates; Cercopithecidae. The record is from RefSeq and is a predicted model, not a curated record.
UGAACCCAUGGCUGUGGGCUGUGCUGUCAUAGUCAGGCCUGAAAGGACUUGCUGAGCAUGACAGUCAAGUGGAAGAGGAUCUUGCAAUUGCAAUUGUCCCUGAGGGGCCCUCGUCCUUGCCACGUUGGUUCUUGCUCAGGCUGCUGGGGCUGAGGCCUGAGGUCUGGGAUGGGGGGAGAGCCUUCAGUACGCAGGCUGCCCUCCUAUCAGAACAGCUUGCACCAGUGUUUGUCAUCUCCUGCUAUCUUACGAGCGAACAGCCAUGUUGUAAAUGGCCUCUGAGGAGGACUGGCCUCUAGGAGUUGAGGACCUCAAUCCGACAUCUGCAAGGGAUUGAAUCGUGCCAAGAACCCGAAUAAACUCUGAAGAUGAGAACGCAGCCCUGUUGGUUGAAUUCAUGCAUGUGGAACCCAUGGAUGUGAAGGACCAACUGUACUUUGCACCAGUGGUUCUCAGUGUGGGCCCUGGACCAGCGGCAGCAGCAUCACCUGGGAACUUGUGAGAAAUGCGCAUUUCAGCCCCUGUUUCAGAUGGACCUAUCAGAAUCUCUGGAGGGAGGCUGUGAGGAUCUAGAGGAUACAGCCAUGGAGAACAUGCUGGCUUCCUUAAGCUGCUAAGCAUUGAAGUCCCACCAAUGGUGGUGAGGGUUUAAGGAGAACGUUGCAAUUGCACAGUCAAAAUGAUCCUUGGAAAUUCUUUAGAAGGGUGCCAUCUUGGAGACCCACAGUCAAUAAAACCAGCCCGGCUGGGAGUUUUCUCCAGCAUUUGAAUAACUUGUUUCUUUGGUUGAACCAUGAUGAGAUAAUUGGCUUAAACCAGGAGUCAUGCAUGGUGUCUGGAAACUGCCUCACUUGAAACACCAGCCUCACGCUCCGCAUGCAUAAUCCUCUCAUCACGAGAGGCACACGGGAAACGAGCCAGCCCGUCUGGAAAGGAAGCAAAUGCAUGCCUUCCAUCUCCCGCUCCGUACCGGGCAUAUCCUCCUGGAGGAGCAGAAAUGCCAGCACCACUUAAAUGAUGUUUCUCUCUGCCCUGUACUUGCUGGAGGCACAUGCCCAUAUCAUGUAGAGUGUCAGGGCAGAGAGCUCUUGGGAAGAGCUGAGCUGUGGGGACCUCCUCCCACGCAGAAGAGGGAGGCCUCUGCAGAAUUCUCUGCCAUGUGCUUCUAGGCUUCCUCAACUCAGAAAUUUUAUUAUAGCGUUUUAGAAUGUGAAGAGCUCUUGGGAAUCAUGAAAGAUGAAGAAUCAAGAUGGAGGUUUGAUGGCUUGUCCCAGGCCCCAGAGUGAGCCCUUUGCUUUUUGGAAUCCAACAGCAAGGACUCAUGGGAAUAUCGUGGGCUUUGACUUGGAGAGACAGGGCUCAAACCUCAUCUUUGUCACUUAGUGAUUGUGUAAUUCUCUAAAAGUCUCCCUAUUUGUAGAAAGGGGAUAAGGGAACUUUUUUCCUGGAUUGCAAGGUGAUUAGAAGAGAUGUAUGUGUAACGGGAU